Dendrobium catenatum is the source of this 1652-nucleotide long non-coding RNA. RefSeq lists it as uncharacterized. NCBI's taxonomy places the organism in Eukaryota, Viridiplantae, Streptophyta, Magnoliopsida, Asparagales, Orchidaceae. The transcript has 2 exons. The record is from RefSeq and is a predicted model, not a curated record.
UGCAAAUGGUAUUCUUCAGUUUCUCCUUCUGUGCUGUCCGUUGUAAGUUGUUGUAUUUGUUUGACAUUUGACUUAUUUAUCCUUCUUGUGGUCAAACAAAGUAUUAAAGGGUAGGAAAUCUUUAAAUGUGUGCAAGUUCAACAUAUUGGUACCCCCCUCCAUUUUCUUCUCUCUCAAGGGGCAAUCAGAUUCCAGAAAGCGAGACAUAAAGAUACUCUUAUCUAAUUUCCAUUGAUCUUUUUGUCAAAUUUAAUGUUUUCUUUGUACACUAGAAGGAGAGUGACGUUUUAUAGAAAAAAACAGUCCUUAUAUAAGAUAAAUUGUAAAACCCAAAAAUAACCUUAAUGGGUCGUUGCAUGCUCUUCAAAGCACCACGACGAGAUUUAGGUGAGAUUUUCAACGUUAACGGAAUUUAACAGAAAUAAUUUUAGAAAGUUCCUUGCAAAAUUCUGAUCGUUUUGGUAUAUAGAACUUAUACCCAAUUUUGCCUAAAACUAAAAAUGGAAUUAAAAAUGUUUAAAGUCCCUAAAUGCCAAUUUUACCCCUAGGAUUUUCUUCAACAAAAAUUACUUGAGGGCUUAUUGGACAUUUGCAAAAACAUUUCCUCUUAUUAGACAAAACCGAAACCCUUCUCAUUUCACGCGUGAACCGCACGAAACAAGAGGAACGGACGGCUGGUGAGGUGUCUGGCAAGGUGCGGGAUCUCCUCUCACGACGAUCUUCCCGCGAAACUUUUAGAUCAAAUCGAAGAGGACGACGAGAGAAACACUCCGGUAUGAUUAUUUCUAAACGAAUCCCUCUCGAUCUCUAGAUUUUUGGAGAUAGAAAUUCUAGGAUUUUUCCUAAAAAUGGUUUUCUCCCAAAAUUUCUUUAAGAAAUUAAUAAGGGACAUUUAGGAGAGCAUGUUAACGGUAGAAAAGAUGUUUUUGGAAAAAAUUUUGGCGAUUUGUAAUUAGGGUUUUUCCUAAUCUAUGAUUUUAAGAAAAAUCUUUUUACAAUUUUUAUUCUUUAGGGUAUAAGAAAUGCUUUAAGGAUGAAAAUUUUGAUAUUUUAAGAAAAAUUUAUUUUUCUUAUUUUUCUAAAUUAUUUAAUCCGAAAAUUAAUUAAGUAAUUAUUAAAUAUUGUUUAGGAAUAAUGUUAGAAUAGAGUUUUGAGCAAAAUUUAAGAUUUAGGGAUUUCUAAAAUUUAAAUUUAAAUUAAAUCCGAAAAUUCAUAUUAAUUUAAUUAAAUAUUCAUUAAGUUUUGUAUGAAAUGAUUAAGGGAAAAUAAAGAUUUAGACUUAAGAAUAUGAUAAUUAGUUUUAUGACACGUCUCUUUUGUAAAUCCUUCUUAGGUAGUGAUCAUUGAAGGGUGGAGUGGAAGACUUGUGUCGAAGCGACGUGUCGUACUUGGUUUGAGGAGAGAAGUAAUGGCUGCACGACGACCUUACACUUAUCGUCGUAGGGGACCUCAGGAGGAAGAAAAGUUCCAUUUGUUUUUUUGUUUUAAGUCUAAGUUUGAGUUUAUAUCUGAGUAUGAACAGUAAGUGGAGUUUAUGUAAUGAUGUAUUGAAAGUUUUUAGUGAUCUUGAGGCAAUUGAACAAUUUGGAACUAUCUGAGUUUAUUGUUGUUAGUUGCUCUUUCUUAUACUGGAUGAUGAUUAUGUUGUCUAA